Molecule: long non-coding RNA, 2347 nt
Filed under: Nicotiana tabacum (common tobacco)
Lineage: Eukaryota; Viridiplantae; Streptophyta; Magnoliopsida; Solanales; Solanaceae
Description: long non-coding RNA (NTAB_LNC000583)
Source: RNAcentral
CCAAACAACCCUACCCCCCAAAGACCGUCUCAGAACCCCUCAUCUCUCUCUCUCUAUACCUCCGCUCCCUUAUGCCCAGAACCACCGUCGAAAAUCCAUAACGGCGGCGGACGGUCUCCAAACACCACCAAAUUUUCACCACAAACUCCCCUCACCUUCCUCAUCCUCAAUCCCUCAUCUAUUUUCUUAAUAAACCACCCGAGUUCCAAGAUUAGUGGAUCUAAAAUCUCAGAAAAACCUAGAUUUUUCCCCUUUUGAUUUCUUGAGUGAUUGCUAUUCGUUUUGGCUCGAAACCCACGUGAAUAGAUUGCUUUUGACAAGAGCAAUCGAUUUACAUUAGUUUUGAUUCAUUUCGAGAUCGUCUGGAGUCCGGCCAAGUCGUUGUUGACCGACCAGAUUUCAUUAUUCCCUGUUGCUUGUCGGAGAUCAUCUCGUCGUCUCAUUCACUGGAAUUUUCUUGCUAAACACUUGAUAUACUUCCCUUCUCUUCUCUGUAAUUUCAUCUACUUGCCGCAUCUUCUUGAUUUCUGUCCUAGCAAGCUUAGUCAGUAGUUUGGAUUAAUUAGUGGUUAAUUCACUUAGUGUUUAAUUGCAUUAUUUAAUCAGUAGAAUCACUGAUUUGAACUUGUUUUAGAGAAUGAUCAUUUUUAUUUUGAUCUUGCAUUCCAUAUGUGUUUUUUCGGUUUGGAUUUAGCUUCAUAGGAAUUUGAUCUACUUUAUUGGAUAACAAGCCCGUUAAUCUCAGACUGAUGAGGAAGGGAAGAACAUGGACUAGGUUCAUGGCUUUGAAAGCCCAGAUGUUCAAUAGUAAAUUGCUGUAGGUUAGAGGGGUACUAUAGGAUUUGGACUCAAGAGAAUCUCUGAGUAACUGACUAGAGGCUUCUAGAAGAGCUGAUAGGGACAUGAAUAACAAUAAAGAAAAGAAAGGGGUCGAGGGUGAGCAGGUAAUUACAGAAAAGAAAAAGGAUUUAAAGAAAGGGAAAUAACAGAAAAGGCAGCUGAGAAUCUUCUAUAAAACACAUUCUUCAUCCUCACACAAUUCACACAUUCACUCUCACCCUCGCUCAUCUCACUCACACCUUUACCCACACCUUUAGACACUCAUCGGAAGCAACUUGCAAUUUAAGAAAAAUCCAAAAUCUGCAGAACCACAAGCUUCAAAAAACCAGGAAAAAAAAGGAUUUCAAAAUCCACUUUGAAUUCCAUUGCACUGUUCUAUUAGUUUUCUGAAUUCUUGCUGGAUUUGAGAUUGGAUUCGAAGUUGUUUUGUUGUUUCUACUGUUGUGUUUUGCUGUUUAGUAGCUUGGAUUCAUCUUUAGCUUCCUUGACCUUCACGGAGACUGAUUCUGUUAUUUUUUCCUGCAAUUAGGUAUGUGAUACUUUACCUGUGACUGCCAUCGAAAUAUAUAGAUGAAGAUCUGAAUUGUUCAUGUUGUAUCUAUGCUUAAAUCUUCUGUAUUCAUUAUGUUUGACCUCCAGAUUUGUCGAUACUUGUUUUUUAUUGAGAAUUGAGAUUAAUUAUUUGUCUAAAUUAAAAUUUUGAUUCAAUAUUGUUCCCUGACUGUGCCUAAUUACUCUCUGAACAACGAACUAAUUUCAUGAGGCAUUUGAGGAUUAAAAUUACUUAGAUCGAUGCACAGGUUUAUGAGGAUAGCAUGUUAAAGCACAAAUGCCAGAUGGCUACUUGUUGAGCUAGUUUGCAGAUCAAGUCAUUUAGUCUUAUUUAACUAGUCCUAGGUGUUCGACCGUGGUAAUUUGAAAUCUGCUUAGUUUAGAAUUUGAAGGCAAGUAUAAAUGUCAUGAUGAUUAUUGUAUCUGAUUUCUAUUUCUGUGUAUGUAAAACAAAAGUUAGUGAUGAAUCUGUCAAAUUCUGAGUAAUGGUUAUUAAAACUAGUGGUCACAAUUGUAACUGGAACGAUUGUCUAGACUGAUAGGACCUGUGUUUUUUGGGUUCGAAAUUGAAAACCUGGAGCCCAAUACUCUGGUCAUUCAAUGGUACAAGAGUCAAUUGGACUCUACAUCUACAAGGCCCAACAAUUUCUAGGCCCAUAUAGGACCUGUUGGUCCAUUGAAAAGGCUGAUCACUCUAAGAGCCAUAUUUUUGGGCUUUAAUUGACCCAUUUCUAUCUUACUAGACCCAUGGGAGGUCUGGUAUAACUUCCUAACUAUCACAACCCCAAAACCCAACCUGUCGUGAUGGCGCCUAUCAUGGUACUAGGCAAGUCGACUACUCAGACAAUUCCAACACUUUCAACUUUGAAAUAUACUAAAACAAUUUAUAUAAAUAGAAAUCUCAUAAAACGGGGUAGAAUAUCAUAACUCAAUACAUAAGUUUUUUCCAAAACUG